CUAUAAAAGUGAGAAAGAAACUAAUGCAGGCUGCAUCACGUGGCAUGUGUAUUUGUGAGCAUGUAAGGGUAUAAUGGAGGCGGCUGGCUGCUGACAGCGCCCUGCUUCAACUGAAGUCUGGUGUGUGGUGCUGGGCCGAAAAGGGCUGCUACUUUUCCUUACCGAACUGUGAGUGUUUUGAGGGAGCAGAUCCUCAGCUGCUCAUUUCUCUGGAAUUGGGCUAAUUGAAAGCAUGCAAGGGUCCAGCUGGUAUUUCUGCCUGUGAUAAAAGGCGUGAAGAACACUGAACAAGAUGACAGUCUUAGAGGUGCUGCAGGCAGGCUGUGUAGGCCUCUACAUGCUCCAAAGGCAGGGAGCAAACAUUGGCCUUUUUCUUCAGGCAUCAUGUUCUCCCUGAUGUCCACCUGCGGUAAUGGAGCUAUACAGUAUGGUGGGCACUGCUGAUGGGGGCUGAGAUUCACGCUGAGGAGGUCUGGAAAAGCCUAGCAAUGAGUAAUAAGGUAGUGGAGAAUUCAUCUGCUUGUGCUUGGAUGGAGCUUCCUGUAAUAUUACAAAUGACCUCAUGGAGAGGGCAAAGAUGUACAAAUUGUUUGACUACUGCCAUUCAUGGGGUUAUAGCACACAGACAUCAUUGAGAUGUUAUCACUGUACAGGAUUUCUGCAAGUCAUUCAGUCUGGAGUGGAGAUGAUCUGCUGUGGGAACAGCAAGAGCAGUGUUUUAGGUUGAGAAUGCUUUCCAGCCUCCUCACCUGGUGCUCGAUCCCUGUGGGAAAGGACCUGGAAUGUGAGGUGCUUGUUGCAUACUUUCUCCAGGCCCUCAGUCUGGCUGACUGAGUUUCCAGAAAGUCUCAGGCAAGCACAGAAACCUGUCGUGCAGGCUGGCACAUCAGAAGCGAGACAGCGUUCAGAAUGCAGUGUGCUGACAGGAACUGCAAAUGCAUUUAAAGAUGGAGAAGUAGCAAAAAGUGGCAGCUUGAAACAAAACACAUGAAUAAGAAUUAAUGAAAUUUGAUCACAUGUAAGCAACUUGUUGGGUAGAAGUAAACCAAAGCAGAUGUUUAAUUGAGGCAAUAUGCUUGGCAAUAAACAAUGGCAAAGGAUACAUAGGUGAAAGUUAAACGAGAGUCUGUCUGUGGGUUAUAGAAUUGCUUUAUAAAGCUGUGGUGCCUGCAUUUAAAAUACUGUCUUAUUUCCGUGCUUUUUCAGUGUCAGAAUGACAUAAACAACCUGGAAGGAAUUGAGAUAAGAGAGCCAUAAAUAAUUAAAAUGCUGGAGGGGAGUGCUGAAGAAAAAGGCAAGUACUGAUAGAGUUUGGCAAAGUGUGGGCUAGGGAAAGACAUAAAUCUUACUCCAUUGAGAAUAAUAGCACAGAAGGGAGGACAGCAUUGCAAUUGGGUCUAUGUGAGCAGAUUCUUCUGGUGUGUGGGUCUGAUGGAGCUGCGUGGCCUGCGUCUGCAGGGGCAGGCUUAAACAGAGCAGGCUGCAGGAGCAAGGCUUCCUCAAAACUGAAAGCUAACAGUUACAAAGCUCAAGGGAAGACCAGCUGCCGAAAUGUGAGAGGAGAACAAGUCCGGUGCAGGAAAAAAAAACUGCUAGGGAAGUGUGAUGAAAU
RNAcentral lists this long non-coding RNA (1612 nucleotides) under Gallus gallus (chicken). Lineage: Eukaryota; Metazoa; Chordata; Aves; Galliformes; Phasianidae. The record is from RNAcentral.